GGGCACGUGGCCGAGUGGCUGAAGGCGCUCCCCUGCUAAGGGAGUAUGGGGUUAAUAGCUCCAUCGAGGGUUCGAAUCCCUCCGUGUCCGCCA
This 93-nucleotide transfer RNA is filed under the name Alphaproteobacteria bacterium. RNAcentral's name for it is "tRNA-Ser". It matches the Rfam family "tRNA". From Rfam's summary of the family: Transfer RNA (tRNA) molecules are approximately 80 nucleotides in length. Their secondary structure includes four short double-helical elements and three loops (D, anti-codon, and T loops). Lineage: Bacteria; Pseudomonadati; Pseudomonadota; Alphaproteobacteria. The record is from RNAcentral.